This is a long non-coding RNA of Cercocebus atys (sooty mangabey), 435 nucleotides long. RefSeq lists it as uncharacterized. The record is from RefSeq and is a predicted model, not a curated record. The transcript has 3 exons. NCBI's taxonomy places the organism in Eukaryota, Metazoa, Chordata, Mammalia, Primates, Cercopithecidae.
UAUCUAAAUUGUUAUAAAUGGGACAGUAUAUGCACCAUUCCAGGUACCUAAUCACAGCUCAAUCGAUGCAGGAGUCUCUUUCCUUUUUCUUUCUGCAGAAAACAUGCUUUACAUAGGAUCUCUGAACUUAAAGAAUGGGAAGAAGAAAAAUCGUGUUUCCAGCUUGGGCUGCUGUUUCAUCUGCUGGACUUGCUUGAGCCCUGAAUGGAAAGGAUUACUAUGCACACUUUUUGGAUACAGAAACUGAGAUUCAGAGAGGUUAAACAACUUUCCUAAAGCCACACAGCGAGAGUCCAUUUGAACUGAAGAUUGUUUGACAUCAAAGCUCAUUUCUUUCCCUAAAUGUCAGCAUUCUCUCCUGACUUAUUCAUUUGAUUUCUGUCUUUCCCUCAUGGAAGUUAAUUAAAGGAAUGCGAGAACCUUUUAGAAAAUCUC